This 710-nucleotide long non-coding RNA is filed under the name Homo sapiens (human). RNAcentral describes it as "non-protein coding CDKN2B-AS1:60". The stretch from base 96 to 239 matches the Rfam family "CDKN2B antisense RNA 1 convserved region 3". Lineage: Eukaryota; Metazoa; Chordata; Mammalia; Primates; Hominidae. The record is from RNAcentral.
AAACCGCUGCACGCCUCUGACGCGACAUCUGGACACGGCGCGGCGCUGGCGCUGCCGGAGCUGUCGACCCGGCCUGGCGCCGGACUAGUGUCCCUUUUGAUGAGAAGAAUAAGCCUCAUUCUGAUUCAACAGCAGAGAUCAAAGAAAAGACUUCUGUUUUCUGGCCACCAGAUAUAUGUUAUCUGUGCUUAAAGAAUUGAAAAACACACAUCAAAGGAGAAUUUUCUUGGAAAGAGAGGGUUCAAGCAUCACUGUUAGGUGUGCUGGAAUCCUUUCCCGAGUCAGUACUGCUUUCUAGAAGAAAACCGGGGAGAUCUAUUUGGAAUGUAUCUAACUCCAAAGAAACCAUCAGAGGUAACAGUAGAGACGGGGUUUCACCAUGUUGGCCAGACUGGUCUUGAACUCUCGACCUCGUGAUUCGCCCGCCUCGGCCUCCCAAAGUGCUGGGAUUACAGGUGUGAGACACCACACCCGGCGGAUAGAGAGAAUUUUGACAGGAUGAUUACGGAGCUAGGAAUUUCCUACGAAGCUGGGUGAUAAAAGGACAUUGGACAAAAACACAGAUAGCUUCAUUCUAUACCAGGAUCCAUCACUGAUUAGCUGUAUUAUAUUUGUCUCUACUGUAAUUUGAGGAGAAUGAUACCUGCUUCUCUAUCUUGUUGGGUUUUACAGAUGAUGUAUUGAAAGUUCAAUAAAAUCUAUAAACAAUA